Non-coding RNA from Caenorhabditis remanei, 71 nucleotides. NCBI's taxonomy places the organism in Eukaryota, Metazoa, Nematoda, Chromadorea, Rhabditida, Rhabditidae. The record is from Rfam.
CAGUGCGGUCCGGAGUUGAUGGGUUAUCAUUGAAGAGGAAGGCCCCCAUUGACACCAACUUGACCGGUGCU